UCCGUCGUAGUCUAGCUGGUUAGGAUUCUCGGCUUUCACCCGAGAUACCCUGGUUCAAAUAGCUGCGACGGAG
RNAcentral lists this transfer RNA (73 nucleotides) under Brassica oleracea var. oleracea. It matches the Rfam family "tRNA". Rfam says of the family: Transfer RNA (tRNA) molecules are approximately 80 nucleotides in length. Their secondary structure includes four short double-helical elements and three loops (D, anti-codon, and T loops). The record is from Rfam by way of RNAcentral. Lineage: Eukaryota; Viridiplantae; Streptophyta; Magnoliopsida; Brassicales; Brassicaceae.